Molecule: long non-coding RNA, 1101 nt
Filed under: Rattus norvegicus (Norway rat)
Lineage: Eukaryota; Metazoa; Chordata; Mammalia; Rodentia; Muridae
Description: long non-coding RNA NONRATT011231
Source: RNAcentral
GUGGAACUGACUGUGGGUCCUUGCCUAAAUGUCUGGUCUGGUGACAACCCACAGUGUUCCUGUUGAGGAACUGACUGUGUCUCCCCUCCCCCACCCUCAAGUGCCCACAGGAUACUAGUCACUGGUAGAAGCUGUCAGCACUAGGACUGGAGGCCAGUGCCCAAGCUUCGAAUGCACUCCAAGGCUUGGCUGAACAAGGAGGAGUAAAGGUCAAAGCAAGAAGGGCCUAGCAGCUGGCAGGGCAAAGGGGUCUACCUUGGGUGCAGGACUUGUAGCCACUGUGCUCAGACAGCAUAGAACCCUCUCAGCACCUCCUUCUCUACAACCUUCCUUCCCCAACAUCACAAGAGCCUUGAGUUGUGAUUGGCUGGCAGAAGCCUUAGCAGGAGGAUGGACCUCGAGUGAAGCAGAAGGGCUGUGAGUGGGUGGCCAGCGCAGGAACAUUAGUGACUCUUGGCUCACUGAGGCUGGGCCACGUUCAUGGCUCUCGGGUAGGACCCAGCGAAACGGCCAGAAUGAAUUCUAUGGACAGGCACAUCCAGCAGACCAAUGACCGUCUGCAGUGCAUCAAGCAGCACUUACAGAACCCCGCCAACUUCCACAAUGCUGCUACAGAGCUGCUGGAUUGGUGUGGAGACCCUCGAGCCUUUCAGCGGCCCUUUGAGCAGAGCCUCAUGGGCUGCCUGACGGUGAGUCCUUACCUCCCCCACACAGCACCCUGGGAAGCGUGGACGUGGACCAGAAGUCCUGUCCACAUACCUUUCUGCAGGCCCCAAAGCUGUUGCUGGGGCAACAGCUGCCAUUGCUACAAGCUGACCCUGCAGGGGAACACACCCCGACUGCCAGCUCUGAUAUGGAGACAGUCUACAUGGGAUGUGUAGCUUCCUCACACUUGGUGAGAAGCACACUAUGGGGACCAGUGUUCCCUCAGAGGCAGGGGAGCUCAAAGGACUCUGCCUUCCUUCUCCACAGCCAUUUUAUUCCUUUAUCUGCUGAGCAUUUGUUGAACUCCACUCUGGUCGUCUGUCUGUCAACUCCAGAGCAUGUAUAGAGCCCCUGUUACAUUCAUCCAUCUGGACAAUAAACCUUGAUUGAUCCCUC